Molecule: ribosomal RNA, 468 nt
Filed under: uncultured bacterium
Lineage: Bacteria
Description: partial 16S ribosomal RNA
Rfam family: Bacterial small subunit ribosomal RNA
Source: RNAcentral
GACGAACGCUGGCGGCGUGCUUAACACAUGCAAGUCGAACGGAAAGGCCCUGCUUUUGUGGGGUGCUCGAGUGGCGAACGGGUGAGUAACACGUGAGUAACCUGCCCUUGACUUUGGGAUAACUUCAGGAAACUGGGGCUAAUACCGGAUAGGAGCGCCUGCUGCAUGGUGGGGGUUGGAAAGUUUCGGCGGUUGGGGGUGGACUCGCGGCUUAACCGUUUGUUGGUGGGGUAGUGGCUUACCAAGGCUUUGACGGGUAGCCGGGCUGAGAGGGUGGCCGGCCACGUUGGGACUGAGAUACGGCCCAGACUCCUACGGGAGGCAGCAGUGGGGAAUAUUGCACAAGGGGCGGAAGCCUGAUGCAGCAACGCCGCGUGCGGGAUGACGGCCUUCGGGUUGUAAACCGCUUUCGCCUGUGACGAAGCGGGAGUGACGGUAAUGGGUAAAGAAGCACCGGCUAACUACGUG